UCGAGAAUCUUCGGCAAUGGGGGAAACCCUGACCGAGCGACGCCGCGUGCGGGAUGAAGGCCUUCGGGUUGUAAACCGCUGUCAGUGUGGAGGAAAUGUAGGGGGGUUCUCCCCUUUACUUGACCUAUACGCAGAGGAAGGACGGGCUAAGUUCGUGCCAGCAGCCGCGGUAAGACGAACCGUCCACACGUUAUUCGGCAUUACUGGGCUUAAAGGGUGCGUAGGCGGUCCGAUAAGUUGGGUGUGAAAGCCCUCGGCUCAACCGAGGAAUAGCGCCCAAAACUGUUGGACUUGAGUAAGGCAGAGGUGAACGGAACUUAGGGUGGAGCGGUGAAAUGCGUUGAUAUCCUAAGGAACACCAGUAGCGAAAGCGGUUCACUGGGCCUUUACUGACGCUGAGGCACGAAAGCCAGGGGAGCGAACG
RNAcentral lists this ribosomal RNA (424 nucleotides) under uncultured prokaryote. RNAcentral describes it as "bacterial SSU rRNA". It matches the Rfam family "Bacterial small subunit ribosomal RNA", at positions 355 to 774 of the family's 1533-position model. The record is from RNAcentral.